AUGAAUUUGUUCCAAUAUACAGAAGCCUGAACAAAAUUUGACAUCAGCAACAAAAGUUUGUUCACCAGUUUCGAAGCCCUGCUCAUCAGAAAGCCCGUAAAGUCUGAGAAAAUCGAUCCAAACAAGCCUUAAUUCUGUCAUUAGGUGAGAGGGAGCCGUGGGCUGAUUGGCUGCCCGUCUGCUCCAUAUUCAGAGGUGCUGGAUGAGGCAGAGGGCCUGCUGGGUAAAAUGCUGCUGUAAUCAGGAGCCGGCUGUGCUGCCUGAUCAGGAUACCUCCAUACUUGAAAGAACAUAUCCAGAAAAAGAAAAGAGUCAUCUAGUGACAGUUCACAUCCAAUCUGACAGAGCUGAAGCAUCUACAGAGAAGAAUGGCAGAAAAACAAAAUGCAGAUGUGCAAAGAUUACCACAUCAAAUCCAGCAGACCUGAGACUGCUAAAGCCAGAGAAAUGUGUGACCUGCAGUGAUUUGAACAGGUGUUGGCGAUGCCACUUCUCUUCUGUGCUGCAUCUCUCCUUUAAAUCCAUUAAGAUCAUCAAAACAUGACAGGGGGAUCAUCAGUCUGUCUGCAGGACGAGCUGCGUCCUGCCCAGCAAACCAGCUCACACUCACACACUCUCUAAACAGGCUUGGAGCGACUGAAGCUGCUGUCCGGUUUGAAGAUGCUCAUUAGGACACAACAGGAAGCAGUUGGUCAGUUAGUAGAGCACAUGCAGGUUACCAGCAACAGGUGGACAGCAGCACACAGGCACAUAUGAAGGGAAGGCAGGCAGGCAGACAGACAGACAGACAGACGUACCAGGCGGGCAGGCAGACAGCGGGCAGACAGCAGGGGUAGGUGCCUGAGAGUCCGCACUGUGGCAGAGUAACAGAUGUGUGGUGAAUCUUUAACUUCGCUCACUCCCCACUGUCACUGCAUCUGUGCGCAGCCCCUCUGCCUCAGCCAAACCCCCUCCUGUGUGAAAGAACGCAACAAUAAAAAGCUAUCAGUGCACUUAUUGAUUAGCCUGCGGUGUCAGGGAUGCUGAUAUUUAAUGAUCUGCAGGUCACACCGUCUUUCUGCAGGUUACGGUGGUGCUCUUUCUGUUAAACGUUUAAUUAAAAAUCAAUGAUGAAUGC
Molecule: long non-coding RNA, 1117 nt
Filed under: Danio rerio (zebrafish)
Lineage: Eukaryota; Metazoa; Chordata; Actinopteri; Cypriniformes; Danionidae
Description: si:ch211-143l19.3 (ENSDARG00000099054.3)
Source: RNAcentral